UACGUAGGGUGCAGGCGUUAAUCGGAAUUACUGGGCGUAAAGCGUGCGCAGGCGGUCUAUUAAGACAGGUGUGAAAUCCCUCGGCCCAACCGAGGAACUGCGCUCUAAACUGUCUUGCUUGAGGACCGAAGGGGACCACGGAAUUCCUGGUGGAGCGGUGAAAUGCGUUGAUAUCAGGAGGAACACCGGCGGCGAAGGCGGUGGUCUGGUCGGUUUCUGACGCUGAGGAGCGAAAGCUAGGGGAGCAAACGGG
This 253-nucleotide ribosomal RNA is filed under the name uncultured bacterium. RNAcentral's name for it is "partial 16S ribosomal RNA". It matches the Rfam family "Bacterial small subunit ribosomal RNA", at positions 524 to 776 of the family's 1533-position model. The record is from RNAcentral.